GACAGAGGUGGCAAGCGUUGUUCGGAAUUACUGGGCUUAAAGGGCGCGUAGGUGUCCCGGCAAGUCAGAUGUGGAAUCUUCUUGCUCAACGAGAAAAUUGCAUUUGAAACUGUCGGGAUUGAGUCAGACAGGGGAUGGCGGAAUUCCUGGUGUAGCGGUGAAAUGCGUAGAUAUCAGGAGGAAGGCCGGUGGCGAAGGCGGCCAUCUGGGUCUGUACUGACACUGAGGCGCGAAAGCGUGGGUAGCAAACAGG
Molecule: ribosomal RNA, 253 nt
Filed under: uncultured bacterium
Lineage: Bacteria
Description: partial 16S ribosomal RNA
Rfam family: Bacterial small subunit ribosomal RNA
Source: RNAcentral